This is a long non-coding RNA of Bubalus bubalis (water buffalo), 934 nucleotides long. RefSeq lists it as uncharacterized. The transcript has 5 exons. Lineage: Eukaryota; Metazoa; Chordata; Mammalia; Artiodactyla; Bovidae. The record is from RefSeq and is a predicted model, not a curated record.
AUCUCUGGGGUGAGGGUUGAAGGAUAAGGAGGGGUUUUCUAGAGGCAGAGAGAAAAGGACAGCUCGUUUAAAGGAAUAAAGCAGUGAAAGAACAUGGCCCACCAUAGAGUAGGGACAAGUACUUCACUAAGCCUGGUGCAGACUGAGCAUGUGGUGAAGACUUAGGAAAUAAAGCCAGAAGUGGCCCAGAAGCCAUGCUAGAAUAAUGUAGCAGCUUGUGCCUAGAAAUAGCUGACUGCUAUGGUGGAGUUGAGAGCUGCUGAGGACCAACCAAAGGCAAUAGCGACAUGAAUGACACUGAGGAGACAGUCACAGAAACGAGGAUCUGGUGACUAGUCAGAUGCAGGGGGUGAAGGAGAGGAAGAAACCAAGAAUGACUUGCAGCUAGGCCUAACACCGCAUUCUUUUCUACCCCAGAUACUGAGGACCAGUGAUGGUGGGUAGUGUUCUGACUGAUAAGACGUGUAAAGAAAAGAGAAAUGGCCUCUGUCCAGGCAGCUCUGCACCACAAGACUCCAGAGGGAGUGGUUCCCAUUGUGAUCUAUGUAGUCUGUGCUCCCUGUGAACUGCAUAUUCUAGCAGGGAAUACAGAUACAUUCCUGGUGGUGUAUGGCUGGAUGGCAAUGAACAGGCAUGACCUUCACAGAAGCUGUUCCUUCAGCCUGAGUCCCCAGAUGGGCAGAAACAGAGCCAGAGCCUGGAAAAGAGCUUUCACUAAGCACAGCAGACUAGUACAAUAGUGGCUCCAAAAGACAGAAGAUGCCUGAGUCAUUGCUUAGACAACAGCAGCCUAGAGACUCAUCCAACCAGAUGCCUCAUGUUGGACUGCCGCAUGAAUAAGAAAUCAAAUGUUAUUGCGCUAAGCCACUGAAAUGCUGGACUCACUUGUUACUGUAAUAAGCUUACUCUGAUUAAUAUACUUUCCCUGUAAAGU